RNAcentral lists this transfer RNA (77 nucleotides) under Candidatus Dormiibacterota bacterium. RNAcentral's name for it is "tRNA-Gln". It matches the Rfam family "tRNA". Rfam says of the family: Transfer RNA (tRNA) molecules are approximately 80 nucleotides in length. Their secondary structure includes four short double-helical elements and three loops (D, anti-codon, and T loops). The record is from RNAcentral. Lineage: Bacteria; Bacillati; Candidatus Dormiibacterota.
UGCCCGGUCGCCAAGUCUGGUAAGGCAGCGGACUUUGGAUCCGCCAUUCGCAGGUUCGAAUCCUGCCCGGGCAGCCA